UCGGGAAUAUUGCGCAAUGGAGGAAACUCUGACGCAGUGACGCCGCGUAUAGGAAGAAGGUUUUCGGAUUGUAAACUAUUGUCGUUAGGGAAGAUACAAGACAGUACCUAAGGAGGAAGCUCCGGCUAACUACGUGCCAGCAGCCGCGGUAAUACGUAGGGAGCAAGCGUUAUCCGGAUUUACUGGGUGUAAAGGGAGCGUAGACGGAACGGCAAGUUUGAAGUGAAAUACCCGGGCUUAACCCGGGAACUGCUUUGAAAACUGUCGAUCUAGAGUGUCGGAGAGGUAAGUGGAAUUCCUGGUGUAGUAGUGAAAUGCGUAGAUAUCAGGAAGAACACCGGAGGCGAAGGCGGCUUACUGGACGAUAACUGACGUUGAGGCUCGAAAGCGUGGGGAGCAAACAGGAUUAGAUACCCUGGUAGU
This 423-nucleotide ribosomal RNA is filed under the name uncultured Oribacterium sp. RNAcentral's name for it is "bacterial SSU rRNA". It matches the Rfam family "Bacterial small subunit ribosomal RNA", at positions 355 to 794 of the family's 1533-position model. Lineage: Bacteria; Bacillati; Bacillota; Clostridia; Lachnospirales; Lachnospiraceae. The record is from RNAcentral.